AUACAGUUCUUCAAGUUAUUAGAAGCAUGUAAAAACUAAUGCAUAGUCUAUCACAGAUGUUUUAAAGAUUAGUUGUUUCCCAAGGUAAGUGACAUUUAAAUACAAAACAAGAAUGCACAAGAAGUUCAGUUUCCAUUCACAUUUGUGAAAGAGGCAAACAAUAACAAACGACUCUGCAAUGAAAAAAAGUGAUUUGUUUACGUAAGCAUUAGAGAUAAUGCUAUACAUAUGAUAAAGUAAUCAAUUAAGGGCACUCAGACCAGUAAAAGUUGUUCUUCCUUCUAGAGCUUAAAAUGAAAAACAAAGAAGCCUCUCCAACCCUAUCCAUGACAUUCCUCUUUUCUAUCAGUGAACAUUUGAGCUGAAAUACAGAGAUGUUCACCUUUUCAAAUAGCUUUCGUGAAAUGACAUUUAUUAACAAGUUUGGCACAGAGAAACUUCAUUGUGAGAAGACAGACAAAUCUGAUUUCCUCAGUGUUGCACUAAUAACACUGAAUGUGAGUGAAUUCUCACUGCUUGUAAGUAGUGAGAAACAAAAUAUUCAUUACACCAUUCUGUUCAAUUCAGUAAUAUAGUUUGAAAUAUAAGAAAAUACCUGAUUAAGUUAUACUUCACACAGUAUGAAUCACAAGGCUUAUUCCUUCCCUUCUUCCCUCCCCCUUAUCUGUAAUACUUUGCAAAGAUUUGUAAUCAGAUGUCUUAGCUUCUUGUACUGUACAUAUCCACAUCUUCUGGGCUGGACUGACCAUGGUCCAUAAGUUUUGGGUCAGGUUUAAACUUUGUUGUCUUCACCGUUCCUGAUGAAGGCAGUGGAUCUUUAGUACUCCAAGACUCUAUAGGAGAAGAUUCUGUCCUGUUAGAUGAUCGUGAUUCAAUAGCAGAUUCAAACUGUACAUUAGAUAUUUCUCUAUUUUUCUUAUUUUCUUGUGUAACUGAUUUUGACUCUUGCUGCAGCUUGGAGGCAUCUUCCUUCUUUGUCCAUAGUGAUCGUACAGCCUCAUAGGUUUGAUGGCUUGCAGAAAUUACCUUUUUCCCUGUUAUCUUAGCAAUUACUACUGCCUGAGCUGGGUAACAAACUGAAAUUCCUAAAGUAGUAAGUCCCAAGGGAUAAGCAAUUUUCUUAAAUCUAGAAUCUUUUCUUGCCAGCACCACACCAGCUACGCCUGAUAUUGUAAUUAUGCCAACUCUGGGAAGAAAGUCUGGUGGUGGAUUCUUCAGGUAAACGUAAGCAUCUUUACCAAACUGAAUUGAAUCCACUAUUCCAUUUUUAGCAAAGAAAAAAGCAUCCUUACACCAUCCAAUAUAGCGGCCAGUUGUCUGUCUUAUCGAAGAGAAUUGCUUUUGCAAGCGACCAGGCUGCUCUUCAAUGUAUUUCGAUUUCAGAGGUGGCGAACAGUAAAUUGGAAGCUGCUUCGGCUUCACCAGCUGACUUUUUGAUUCCUUUUCUUCUGCAUACACUGCACACACAAACGGUAGGGAGGAAGCAGCAGCAGCCAGCCUUGCCACCUUGGCCGCCAUCUUAGCGACAGCCCCGCAGCCGCGUACGGCGAGCGGGAAGGGCCGAGCGCUCGGCCGCGGGCUCCUCCCGAGCGGGGCGGAGCUCCAUUGAGGCUGAGACGAUGGGAACCGGACCGAAACACUCCCCCGCUCUUUGGGUGGGCGCGGCUCUCUUUGUUGUCGCGUGUGGCUGAGGCCGGUCCUGCAGACCCUGCGUGGAGAGCGGCCUGCAGCUCUGCUCCGGUCCUGCUCACAGCCUGGGCUUGAAUUACUCUUCGUAAUUACAGUUAUUAGAGAACACGCACUAAAACAACGUGAGCACAAAGUUUAAGUGCAGAUAAUUCCGUUUAUUGAAGUCCAAAUUUACAACUGAAGUUUACAACUUUUUUUUUCUUUUUUUCUCCCCCCAAAACAAAAGCUUUGUUUGAAUUUAGGAAGAAUAAAUGUUCUUUUUAAUAAUGUACAGACUAUAUCUCUUAAAUAAGUUAAUAUCUUUGAAAAAAGAGCAAUAUGUUCCUUUUUUAAUGUUGCAGUGCAACUUACAACUUACACGUCUGUGCAAUGUACCAUGAGGUAUAUGCCCAGUGAGCAACACACAGUGAAGGUUUCCAUUCAUAAAUUUUCAUUGUAGACACACAAAAGUUAACAAGUUCAUCUGUGAUAGAAAAACGCAGCCAGUUACAGUAGUUCACACAGAAGUCAUCUGAGAAGAGGAAAAAAAGAAACCUAACGUUCACUGCCUAUAGAAACUAUUGGAUCAUCUCUCAACAUAGACAAGUAUAAAAUUAAAAAUACUGUUGUGAAACCAAAGAGUGCUGUAUUAUCCAGGGGUUGAAACCUAGCCUAACCUGUAUGCGUCCAGUUAGAGCAGUUAAUUUUCUCUCUCUGUUCAGCGAGCUGAAGGACUUUACUAUGGUAUCGGUAGAGCAUCUGCUCAUAAAAGCGCUAAAGCAAGAUGGUCAGUAGAGAAAGGUUGCAGAAUGUCAUAAACUGUGGUACAACUCAGACACCUUCCCUGGCAUGGAUAGGUGGUUUACCGUGACCUCGCAGCUCAUCUCACAGUUGUUUGGAAAAACAAGGCUGAAACAUGGAAGAUUCCGAGUAUUUGAAGCUUUGAUGCUUCAAACUUUUCAAGAUGGCUCUUACUAAAAAUACUUAUUUUUCAUAAUGACAUAAAACACAUAUUUACUUUAGAAAGAACCAACCACAACAUAACUUUGUGAUAAAUAACAGUUCUGCCGCUAAUACUUAUAUACAUACUGCUUGUAAACAAAAAAUGCCCACAGGUCAUGGAGUCUCCAUGAGUUUUAUACAAGGCGCUAUAGAUUUUUUUUCGUUAUUGAAAACAGUCCUAUUGAAAGUUUGGUUUAUAACCUCCUAUUGCUACAGAAACAGUAAGAAUGUUUAUAUUUACAAAGAAACAAAGACCAUGGAGACCCCAUAGCAUUAUUUGCUAAAGAUUGUAAGUUAGUGGGGUUUUCGAAGUACACGUUAUCAGCACGUUCAGCUUUAAUUAACAGUACAGGUUGAACACCAGCAGUACCAUACUCUAGUGCUUUGGUAUUUCAACCCCUGAAUAUACAAAGACAUUACUACAGCCUACUUCACAGUUUAAUGCAAGUAAAGUGCAAGCCAUAGUACAAGGGUGUCAUACAUUUUCAUACAUGUAAGCAUUAUCUAUA
Molecule: long non-coding RNA, 3179 nt
Filed under: Gallus gallus (chicken)
Lineage: Eukaryota; Metazoa; Chordata; Aves; Galliformes; Phasianidae
Source: RNAcentral